RNAcentral lists this ribosomal RNA (467 nucleotides) under uncultured bacterium. RNAcentral's name for it is "bacterial SSU rRNA". It matches the Rfam family "Bacterial small subunit ribosomal RNA", at positions 33 to 507 of the family's 1533-position model. The record is from RNAcentral.
AGGACGACGCUGGCGGCGUGCUUAACACAUGCAAGUCGAACGGUGAACCAGAGCUUGCUCUGGGGAUCAGUGGCGAACGGGUGAGUAACACGUGGGCAACCUGCCCCAGACUCUGGGAUAACCUCGGGAAACCGAUGCUAAUACCGGAUACGACCACUUCGGACAUCCGACGGUGGUGGAAAGUUUUCGGUCUGGGAUGGGCCCGCGGCCUAUCAGCUAGUUGGUGGGGUAAUGGCCUACCAAGGGCGACGACGGGUAGUCGGCCUGAGAGGGCGACCGGCCACACUGGAACUGAGACACGGUCCAGACUCCUACGGGAGGCAGCAGUGGGGAAUAUUGCACAAUGGGCGAAAGCCUGAUGCAGCGACGCCGCGUGAGGGACGACGGCCUUCGGGUUGUAAACCUCUUUCAGCAGGGACGAAGCGAAAGUGACUGUACCUGCAGAAGAAGCACCGGCUAACUACGUG